Non-coding RNA from Danio rerio (zebrafish), 523 nucleotides. Lineage: Eukaryota; Metazoa; Chordata; Actinopteri; Cypriniformes; Danionidae. The record is from Ensembl.
AGGCCCGUUUACACUAGUGUGUUUUAGUUUUAAAACAGCGUUUUAGAUUAAAAGCGAUCCGCGUCCACACUAGCGUUUCACCUAGCGUUUCUGAACAUAUCUCCGUCCACACUACGCCACCAAAAACGUAUAUCACGUGACCAUUCGCGCACUCUGGGCAUGUGCGUUCUAGUAUAAACAGGAAGCAUGUGUCUCGCUCGACAUUUGGUUAUUGUUAGUCAACAAGCGCCGGUUGAACAAUGAACGCGAUGGCAAAGAAAGCAAGAGAGGUAUUUUUGUGGACAGACGACGAGGUUUGAGUUGUGAAUAACUGCACAAUGGUGCCUAAAACAGACAAUAGUGCAAACAACGCUCCCAUUUCUGUGUUCGUGUUGUUGUUUACAGUGAAGGCUGGUCUGCUGUCUCCCGGUAGCGUUAAAGCCAUGUGUUAUAGUCAUGUGAUAGGGGCUUGACGAAUAAGGUAAUGGAUACGCAAUGACACGAAAGCCCCAAUCAGGUAGCGAAUCUCAGCAGCCCCGCCUCC